This 1167-nucleotide long non-coding RNA is filed under the name Serinus canaria (Common canary). RNAcentral describes it as "lncRNA (ENSSCAG00000016436.1)". Lineage: Eukaryota; Metazoa; Chordata; Aves; Passeriformes; Fringillidae. The record is from RNAcentral.
CGUAGGAGUUGACGAAGUCCUUGCACUGCCCGAUGACGCCGUGGGGCAGCAUGUAGCACACCUUCUCGAUGUCGUUCACCAGCUGCUCCUGCCGGCACAAGGCAGGAGAGGGGAACCCCGGCUCCUCGGUGCCCCUUAGCCCCNNNNNNNNNNNNNNNNNNNNNNCAGAGGUGGGGCUCACCUCUGUCACGUUGUUCUCCAGCAGGCUCUCCACUGUCUUCACGGUGAACUGGCACAUGUCACACAGCGGAGUGCUCCCCACCCUGUCCUGUGGGGACAAGGGGGUGGGAUGCAUGAUGAGCCCCCCCAGAGCCACCCUCAUCCUGUCCCACCAUCAUCCCCCACAUAAGGCAUUCCCCAAAUAGGGCAUCCCCUAAGUAAGACAUCCCCCAAGAAAGGCAUCUCCCACAUAAAGCAUCUCCCACAUAAGGCAUCUCCCACUUAAGGUAUUCCCCACUUAAGGCAUUCCCCCACAUAAGGCAUGCCCCACAUAAAUCAUCCCCCAAGUAAGGCAUUCCCCACAUAAAGCAUCCUCCAAGUAAUGCAUCCCCCAAGUAAGGCAUCCUCCAAGUGAGACAUUCCCAAUGUAAGGCAUUCCCCACGUAAGACAUUCCCCACCUAAGGCAUUCCCCACCUAAGGCAUUCCCCACCUAAGGCAUUCCCCACAUAAGGUGUUCCCCUCCCGGGAUAAACAGAGGUUUUUGAGGAAAUAAAACACCAAAUGAGGCUCUCCCUCCAGAGUGUUUGGAUUUCAAGGAGCACAGCAGAACUGAGGGGGUCCCCACUCACCCCCAGCAUGCUCAGGACCUGCAUCACCCUCUCUGCGAGCAGCGUGUGGAGGGGCAGCGCCGAGUGGGAGGCACAGAGCCCCAGCUGGCCACACAGCUCCGUUGGCUCCUGGGCCAGGUGGUGCAGCAGCUGGGCAGCCGUGUCCGUGUACUCGGCCAGGGAGCGCUUGCACUGCGGGAGGGAGGCACAGCGUCAGCCCCCGGCCGGCCCGGCCCGGCCGCUCCUCCGGGCACGCGUCUGCCAGAGACGCUGCCAGCCGGGAGGAGCAGGAGGAGGCGCUUCCAUCCCGGGAAGGGCCCGGGGCAGCCGGGACAGCGCCAGCCUUAGGUCGGACCUGACAUACGCACGUGAUUCGGGCCCAAGAAGAUAAAAAUGUUU